CAGGGGGCUUUGGGGAGAAAAAGGAAAAAAAAUAAAAUCUUUAAAAAAAAAAAAAAAAAACACUUGGGGCCGGCCUAGAGGGGCAGUGGUUAAGUUCGCACCCUCCACUUUGGCAGCCCAGGGUUCACCAGUUUGGAUCCCCAGCAGGGACCUACACACCACUCAUCAAGCCAUGCUGUGGUGGCAUCCCACAUAGAAGAAUUAGAAGGACUUACAACUAGCAUAUACUACUAUGUACUGGGGCUUUGGGGAGGUAAAAAAAGAGAAAGAUUGGCAACAGACGUUAGCUCAGGGCCAACCUUCCUUACCAAAAAAAAGCAUACCUUAGAAAACACUUGAUUGUUUAUUUAUUUAUUUUUUAAAAGAACAUACAUACAGGAAGUCCAGCGGUACGGAUCACUCAUCAUAAAGGGCAAUGAGAGUAAGAGGCUCUACAAUAACGAACGCCAGGCUUUAGUGCAAGCCCUAUCAGUGGGCCUCAGGCUGCAUCCCCAGGUGCCCGAAUGGCCCAGGAGGUCUCCAAGCAUAAGCAGUGGAGCGUCAGCUCUUGCAGCUGAAAGAGGCCAAGGGCAGCGCUGUGGCCACAAACUACCUCUGCAGAAAUAUGGAGCCAGCAUACAGUUAUUUGUCAGUCCUCAUGAAAAAAAAAAAACUACCCUCAAAAAGCUUAAAGAAAAAUAUUUCUAACCAAAAUUUUUAAACAUCACGAAAAUGAAAAGUAAGAUAACAGCUAGCAUGAUAAAACAGAGCAGAACAGGGGAAAACAUGCACGGCAAAAAAACAAUUACUAUUUGAAACUACCUUAGCAACUUGAUUUUGCCAUUGCUAGGAACCAAAAAUGGCUAGGUCACUAACCACCGAGGCUACCCAGGCCACAUGGUCACAUCCUUGACUUUCCACCCCUCCCUUAUACGCAAGUAGGGGCAUAUAAGAAUCUUACCAUGCUUACUUUACAUCCAUUGGAUAGAGAAACAAAUGAGAGUGGUAGAUAAAUAGAAAAACUAUUCCUAUACCAGCCUAACAAAAGCUGUACUUUUCCAAAAUUUUCCCUUGUUUUCUUAAGAAACACUUUGUUGACUUCCACUGUCUCUAAUAAUAAUAUAUCCAACAAUACAGAAACUAAAGUUACCCACGCAUCCUGUGCAGAAAACAGUAAACACAGCAGGACUGGAAGUGCUAUCCUUAGAAUGGCCUGCUUGCAAGGUUGGCCCCUGGCUGGUGUCUGGGAACCAGGAUUUCAGGAGGGUGCCCAGCAUUCCCAGAAGUGCUAAGACUGGUUCACCGGGCCAAGACUGUUUGUACAAUGUGGUAUAUGCUAAACACCUGCUUUCCCUCUGGGAGUCCAGGAAUUGGUGCAUGCCAGGUAGAGGGUGUCAUGUGACCAGCCCCCAAUAAAACCUUAGGCACCGAGUUUCUGAGAAGCUUCCCUGGUAGAUAUUUCACAGGCGCAGGCACAACUUGCUGCUGGAGGAGUCAAGCACGCCUACGUGACUACACUGCGAGAGAACUCGUGGAAGCUUACACACGGUUUCUUCUGGACUUCACUUCACGUGCCUAUUCCCUGUGCUGAUUCUGCUGUAUGUCCUCUCUCUGUAAGAAAUCACAGCCUUGAGUGUGACUAUGUCCUGAGUCCUGCGAGUCCUCCUAGUCAACAAACCUGGGCGUGGUCGUGGGACCUCUUCCACAUUCUGUUUAAUAGAUAAAAACCUAACCUCUAUUGUGGUUCCCAGGACACAAUACUUGACUUUAUUUAUGGCCA
Long non-coding RNA from Equus caballus (horse), 1759 nucleotides. Lineage: Eukaryota; Metazoa; Chordata; Mammalia; Perissodactyla; Equidae. The record is from Ensembl.